Long non-coding RNA from Triticum dicoccoides, 385 nucleotides. RefSeq lists it as uncharacterized. The transcript has 3 exons. The record is from RefSeq and is a predicted model, not a curated record. NCBI's taxonomy places the organism in Eukaryota, Viridiplantae, Streptophyta, Magnoliopsida, Poales, Poaceae.
CAGCCAAGAUGCGGAACGGUGGUCGACGGCGGCGGCCUGCAGCUCCCAAGUUGCAGGUGUGUGCGUGGACAUCUUCAUGAUUACUAAUUACAAAUGAACACACGUAUCUUCUCUUGAAGUUCUGAGUGUUGAGACUUGAGAGUGGUGGCUCAUUGUUUCUGUAUUCAAAUACUGAUGAAUCGACACUUCCAAAAGAUAUGUCAGUCAAAUUGAUAGGAUAAUGUAUGAUCAUGCUUUGUAUAGAGCUGACCUCACAUGGAACAUCCUAUCCAUCUUAAACUUCACCCAGGCUUGAUACAAUUGACCCUUUAAUUUCCUAGAAAUUCUCAUCUUUGCCUGUGCAAAUAUUAUUUUAUUUGUCAUACUCUUAUACAUUGAAGUUACA